This 142-nucleotide microRNA precursor is filed under the name Linum usitatissimum (flax). RNAcentral's name for it is "miR160h stem-loop (lus-MIR160h)". Its record names the gene lus-MIR160h. The stretch from base 21 to 123 matches the Rfam family "mir-160 microRNA precursor family". Rfam says of the family: The hairpin precursors (represented here) are predicted based on base pairing and cross-species conservation -- their extents are not known. The record is from miRBase by way of RNAcentral. Lineage: Eukaryota; Viridiplantae; Streptophyta; Magnoliopsida; Malpighiales; Linaceae.
GGUAGAGGGUGAAUUUGAGAAUAUGCCUGGCUCCCUGUAUGCCACAGGCAAACUCCCAAUCCCAAAUUGUUGGUUUUCUAUCAGAUUGGUUGUUGCUGGUGGCGUACAUGGAGUCAAGCAUGUAGUAUAUGCGCCCUCUUUC